AGUACGGCGAGUGAGCGGUAAAAGCUCAAAUUUGAAAUCUGGUACUUUCAGUGCCCGAGUUGUAAUUUGUAGAAUUUGUCUUUGAUUAGGUCCUUGUCUAUGUUCCUUGGAACAGGACGUCAUAGAGGGUGAGAAUCCCGUUUGGCGAGGAUACCUUUUCUCUGUAAGACUUUUUCGAAGAGUCGAGUUGUUUGGGAAUGCAGCUCAAAGUGGGUGGUAAAUUCCAUCUAAAGCUAAAUAUUGGCGAGAGACCGAUAGCGAACAAGUACAGUGAUGGAAAGAUGAAAAGAACUUUGAAAAGAGAGUGAAAAAGUACGUGAAAUUGUUGAAAGGGAAGGGCAUUUGAUCAGACAUGGUGUUUUUUGCAUGCACUCGCCUCUCGUGGGCUUGGGCCUCUCAAAAAUUUCACUGGGCCAACAUCAAUUCUGGCAGCAGGAUAAAUCAUUAAGAAUGUAGCUACUUCGGUAGUGUUAUAGCUUUUUGGAAUACUGUUAGCCGGGAUUGAGGACUGCGCUUCGGCAAGGAUGUUGGCAUAAUGGUUAAAUGCCGCCCGUCUUGAACCACGGACCAA
Molecule: ribosomal RNA, 571 nt
Filed under: Hanseniaspora uvarum
Lineage: Eukaryota; Fungi; Ascomycota; Saccharomycetes; Saccharomycodales; Saccharomycodaceae
Description: partial large subunit ribosomal RNA
Rfam family: Eukaryotic large subunit ribosomal RNA
Source: RNAcentral